GAAAUGCGAUAAGUAAUGUGAAUUGCAGAAUUCAGUGAAUCAUCGAAUCUUUGAACGCACAUUGCGCCCGCCAGUAUUCUGGCGUGCAUGCCUGUCCGAGCGUCAUUUCAACCCUCGAACCCCUCCGGGAGAUCGGCGUUGGGGAUCGGGACCCCUCACCGGGUGCCGGCCCUGAAAUACAGUUGCGGUCUCGCCGCCGCCUCUCCUGCGCAAUAGUUUGCACAACUCGCACCGGGAGCGCGGCGCGUCCACGUCCGUAAAACACCCAGCUUCUGAAAUGUUGACCUCGGAUCAGGUAGGAAUACCCGCUGAACUUAA
RNAcentral lists this unclassified non-coding RNA (318 nucleotides) under uncultured Trichoderma. RNAcentral's name for it is "sequence contains ITS1". The stretch from base 1 to 105 matches the Rfam family "5.8S ribosomal RNA", at positions 50 to 154 of the family's 154-position model. The record is from RNAcentral. Lineage: Eukaryota; Fungi; Ascomycota; Sordariomycetes; Hypocreales; Hypocreaceae.